This 226-nucleotide long non-coding RNA is filed under the name Phoenix dactylifera (date palm). RNAcentral describes it as "long non-coding RNA (PDAC_LNC012989)". The record is from RNAcentral. Lineage: Eukaryota; Viridiplantae; Streptophyta; Magnoliopsida; Arecales; Arecaceae.
AGCAUGAUUUUUAGGUGCGUGCCAAAGUUAGAGACGACUCGAGUAAGUUUCAGAGUCGGCUCCUGAGGGAGAGUCGACUCGCGCAUUUGCGGGAGUCGACUCGCAAAGAUGGCAGCAGAGGGGGAGUCGACUCACAUAUAGUCGGGAGUCGACUCGAGGUCUACAGGCGCAUAAGGAGAGUCGACUCGCGCAUAUUCUGGAGUCGACUCGAGGUCGAGUCGACUCG